This 253-nucleotide ribosomal RNA is filed under the name uncultured bacterium. RNAcentral's name for it is "partial 16S ribosomal RNA". It matches the Rfam family "Bacterial small subunit ribosomal RNA", at positions 524 to 776 of the family's 1533-position model. The record is from RNAcentral.
UACAGAGGGUGCAAGCGUUGCUCGGAAUCAUUGGGCGUAAAGGGUAGGUAGGUGGUCUCAUUUGUCUGGGGUGAAAGCCUUGAGCUUAACUCGAGAAGUGCCCCGGAAACGGUGAGACUGGAGUCUUGGAGAGGGUCGUGGAAUUCCCGGUGUAGCGGUGAAAUGCGUAGAGAUCGGGAGGAACACCAGCGGCGAAGGCGGCGACCUGGACAAGUACUGACACUCAACUACGAAAGCGUGGGGAGCAAACAGG